This 460-nucleotide ribosomal RNA is filed under the name uncultured bacterium. Its description in RNAcentral is "partial 16S ribosomal RNA". It matches the Rfam family "Bacterial small subunit ribosomal RNA", at positions 338 to 795 of the family's 1533-position model. The record is from RNAcentral.
CCUACGGAGCAGCAGUGAGGAAUAUUUGUCAAUGGACGCAAGUCUGAACCAGCCAAGUAGCGUGCAGGAUGACGGCCCUCCGGGUUGUAACCUGCUUUUAGUUGGGAAUAAAAGGGGUCUCGUGAGCCCCGUCUUGUAUGUACCAUCAGAAAAAGGACCGGCUAAUUCCGUGCCAGCAGCAGCGGUAAUACGGCAAGUCUUGGCGUUAUACGGAUUUAUUGGGUUUAAAGGGAGCGUAGGCCGGCUUUUAAGUCAGCUGUGAAAGUCCGCGGCUGAACCGUGGAAUUGCAGUUGAAACUGGAGGCCUUGAGUGCACACAGGGAUGCCGGAAUUCAUGGUGUAGCGGUGAAAUGCUUAGAUAUCAUGAAGAACUCCGAUCGCGAAGGCAAGUGUCCGGGGUGCAACUGACGCUGAGGCUCGAAAGUGCGGGUAUCAAACAGGAUUAGAUACCCUUGUAGUC